RNAcentral lists this ribosomal RNA (444 nucleotides) under uncultured bacterium. Its description in RNAcentral is "partial 16S ribosomal RNA". It matches the Rfam family "Bacterial small subunit ribosomal RNA", at positions 338 to 795 of the family's 1533-position model. The record is from RNAcentral.
CCUACGGGAGGCUGCAGUGAGGAAUAUUGGUCAAUGGCCGGAAGGCUGAACCAGCCAAGCCGCGUGAAGGACGAAGGUGCCAAGCAUUGUAAACUUCUUUUAUUCGGGACGAAACAAAUGACGGUACCGAAUGAAUAAGCCACGGCUAACUACGUGCCAGCAGCCGCGGUAAUACGUAGGUGGCAAGCGUUAUCCGGAUUUACUGGGUGUAAAGGGCGUGUAGGCGGGAGAGCAAGUCAGACGUGAAAUUCCAGGGCUCAACCCUGGAACUGCGUUUGAAACUGUUCUUCUUGAGUGAUGGAGAGGCAGGCGGAAUUCCGGGGGUAGCGGUGAAAUGCGGAGAUAUACGGAGGAACACCAGUGGCGAAGGCGGCCUGCUGGACAUUAACUGACGCUGAGGCGCGAAAGCGUGGGGAGCAAACAGGAUUAGAUACCCGAGUAGUC